GACGAACGCUGGCGGCGUGCUUAACACAUGCAAGUCGAACGGAAAGGCCCUGCUUUUGUGGGGUGCUCGAGUGGCGAACGGGUGAGUAACACGUGAGUAACCUGCCCUUGACUUUGGGAUAACUUCAGGAAACUGGGGCUAAUACCGGAUAGGAGCUCCUGCUGCAUGGUGGGGGUUGGAAAGUUUCGGCGGUUGGGGAUGGACUCGCGGCUUAUCAGCUUGUUGGUGGGGUAGUGGCUUACCAAGGCGUUGACGGGUAGCCGGCCUGAGAGGGUGACCGGCCACAUUGGGACUGAGAUACGGCCCAGACUCCUACGGGAGGCAGCAGUGGGGAAUAUUGCACAAUGGGCGGAAGCCUGAUGCAGCAACGCCGCGUGCGGGAUGACGGCCUUCGGGUUGUAAACCGCUUUCGCCUGUGACGAAGCGUGAGUGACAGUAAUGGGUAAAGAAGCACCGGCUAACUACGUG
RNAcentral lists this ribosomal RNA (468 nucleotides) under uncultured bacterium. RNAcentral describes it as "partial 16S ribosomal RNA". It matches the Rfam family "Bacterial small subunit ribosomal RNA", at positions 28 to 507 of the family's 1533-position model. The record is from RNAcentral.